Molecule: long non-coding RNA, 936 nt
Organism: Papaver somniferum (opium poppy)
Lineage: Eukaryota; Viridiplantae; Streptophyta; Magnoliopsida; Ranunculales; Papaveraceae
Exons: 4
Source: RefSeq, a predicted model, not a curated record
CUCUCUCUCGUUUCUCUAUUUUUUUCCUUCUCUCCUUUCCUCUCUCCGUCUCUCUCACUUUUUCUCCAACACAGACCCAAGAGCCCCUUUUCUCCAGCAGAUACAGAUCGAAACCCUAACUUCAAUUUUUAGAAUCUCUUAUCCUUAAUCUCUCUUGAACCCUAACGAUGUUGUUUGAUUUGUAAAAUUGAGGGAAGUAAAACCCUAACGAUACUGUAUUUUGAUUCUACUUUUUAAUUUCAGAUUUCCUUUGAUUCGGGGUUAUUAGUAUUCCUAGAAAUCAAAACCCAAGAAGUGGUGGUGGUUAUGCUGGUCCUAGAGGUGGUAGUUCAAAGAGAUGCUACAGAGAAUCGAAUUGAAGGGUUGGAGGAUCACCAAUUUAUAAAGUUCAUAGGAAGCUAGGUAAAGGUGGCUUUCAGCAAGUUUUUGUUGGUUGUCAUGUGUCAGGGACUAAGGAGGUAGUGAAAGAGCAAAAAGUUUGGGUCCGUAGAGGUGGUAGUAAAAUUUAAGCAUAAAAGUAUUGGGGGUCUAUGUUUUCAGCUGAUGAUGAAAUUGAGUUAAAGACACAAAGGGUUGAAUCAUUUGAAGAUAGUGACGCUGAAAGUGAUUCAGAAUCUCUUGGUGAGGUUAUGCACAUGAUAUCGAUGAAUUUCAGGAACAAAGUAAAAGAAGUGAAAUGGGAAUUUGAGGUUGAUAUGUUUUCUGCUUUUGGAGAGGAAGUCAGGUAGUUAAGAAUGCCCUGCACUUUUCCUUCAUUACAUUAUAAUUGGAAACUGGAUGUGUAUAAGCUAUAUAACCUUUCAACAAUUAGAAGAGAUAUGUUGGCUAAACAAUAUGUUAUUACUAUUUCGUAUGCACUGGCAAAUAUCUGACGUGUUCAAUGGUGUAAAAAUGUUGAAUAUAUAUAUUUAUAUCUUAUACUUUAUUAUUUUGCUA